UACGGAGGGGGCUAGCGUUGCUCGGAAUUACUGGGCGUAAAGCGCGCGUAGGCGGUGAUCUUAGUUAGAUGUGAAAGGCCUGGGCUUAACCCAGGAACUGCAUUUAAUACUGGAUCGCUAGAAUCCGAGAGAGGGUAGUGGAAUUCCCAGUGUAGAGGUGAAAUUCGUAGAUAUUGGGAAGAACACCAGUGGCGAAGGCGGCUACCUGGCUCGCGAUUGACGCUGAGGUGCGAAAGCGUGGGGAGCAAACAGG
RNAcentral lists this unclassified non-coding RNA (253 nucleotides) under uncultured Rhodospirillales bacterium. Its description in RNAcentral is "contains 16S-23S intergenic spacer region". It matches the Rfam family "Bacterial small subunit ribosomal RNA", at positions 524 to 776 of the family's 1533-position model. The record is from RNAcentral. Lineage: Bacteria; Pseudomonadati; Pseudomonadota; Alphaproteobacteria; Rhodospirillales.